Molecule: ribosomal RNA, 253 nt
Filed under: uncultured bacterium
Lineage: Bacteria
Description: partial 16S ribosomal RNA
Rfam family: Bacterial small subunit ribosomal RNA
Source: RNAcentral
UACAGAGAGUGCGAACGUUGUUCGGAAUUACUGGGCGUAAAGCGCACGUAGGCGGACCAUCAAGUUGGGGGUGAAAUCCCGGGGCUCAACCCCGGAACUGCCUCCAAGACUGCUGGUCUGGAGGUCGAGAGAGGUGAGUGGAAUUCCGAGUGUAGAGGUGAAAUUCGUAGAUAUUCGGAGGAACACCAGUGGCGAAGGCGGCUCGCUGGCUCGAUACUGACGCUGAGGUGCGAAAGCGUGGGGAGCAAACAGG